AUGAUUGCAAGUUUUCUGAGGCCUUCCCCGAAGCUCAGCAGAUGCCAGCGUCAUUCUGCCUGUACAGCCUGCAGAACCUCAUUAACUCUGGCAUGUAGCAGCAGAAGAGAGCAUUGGAAAGAGUCCAGUGGAGCAGAGAAAGGUGGGGAGUGGACGAUCAAGGACAGCCAGGUCUUGAUUUGGAAAAGAUGCCCGUGGAAAGGACACUCACUGAAAAGUGUGUUCUGUGCCCUGGAAGGCUGGAACUGGAAGGCUGACUACAUCAGGGACGACUCUCUUGCUGUAGGGCUUCUUGUUGAGUCCAGCCAAUGCCAGACAAAUGAGGGAAUCCAAAGGUGGGAGAAGAGCGAGAUGCGGGUAACCUGGACACCCACUGGUGACGCUGGGACCCUGACUAGGAACACCUUUCUUUGAAGAUUACAACAAUCCAUUUUAACUACUAUGAAAUGGUUCUGGAAUGACACUGUUGUGAAGAGGAAAUUCCAGCGGAGCUACUGGAGCAAGCCUUUGAUCUGCCAUAUUGAGCUCCUCCAGCCAUGCGGAUUCGCUGCACUAUAAGAAAAACAUUUCUAUGACCACUUUAAAGCUAAAUUCAUUUCAGGUUUGUCCUGAAGAGAGACUCAGAGAAGGCUAAAAGGCUAGCCCAGGCUUCCAUUUUGAGACAGGGAGAGUAUCCAGCAAUAUGACGGAGGUAACAAGUGACAAGCAGGAUUGUGUGGGGCUUUUUCUUUGAAGAUCUUCUGUAGUAAAACAGAAUGGAACUUGUCUAUUUACAACAUUUUUCAAUUUUUCUGGGCAGUCAAUAAAACAUAACAUUACCAACAUCAUUUUCUCUCACCUAAUCUAGGAGAUUUUUCUUUAUGUCGUUUUUUAAUACUUUAUUCAUUAUAAAAGUUUUUCCACCUUUUACAUUUUGCAGUUACUAAUAUUAAGAAACGAAAUGCCAAUUUGUUUGCAAGCCAUGUAAAAGGAACAUCUUAACAGGAUAGCAAAUGAUUAAAUAUAUGGUGUGUUGUGUGGCAUAUAUUUGAUGGUUUUGUGACCAGAAAUGGUCUAAUAUCUAGUGUUUCAUCUUAUACCAUCAAAGUAAGGUCAUCUUUGUCCUAUUUCUUUAUUCCUCUUUGUGCUCAUAUAUAUUUAUUGAACAUUUGUGUGUAUUUAGCAGUGACAGGGAUGAAAAUAGUCUGACUUUAGGGAAGCAUUGUUUUUCAGGCUUUAAUAAUAAAACCGAUAUUUUCCAGGGCACAGAAUGCCUACCUGUGCCUAGGUGAUAAGGUCUCGAACACAAUGAGCUCUUUUGUUCUGAGAAGCAGCCCAGGCUUAUUCUGCUACUUCUCCCUGUUUUACAAUCUUGCUAAGGUUGACCUUUACCUAUCUUGUGGUGCUUUUUCAACAAAAAUAAAAUUCUUAACUGGUUUUUAUGACUGACUAUAAAACAUCCCUUUCAACUUCACCUGUUAAUAAAGGGAACUAGCUCUUCCUUCUCCUGUAUACUUGGAAAAAAUAGAAUAAAAACAACAAACAAAAUAGUUACUUAACUGAAAAAAAAAAAAGGUAUUGAGAUUAGUCUUACAAUGUGUAAGAUUCUCAAAUAGUCCUUAAAUACAAUCCUUAAUUUAAUUUUUAAAAUGCUGUGUUUUCUUAAACCACUUCUCUCUCUUUCACAUCCCCUCUACCACCACCCUGGGGGUCUUUUGCAAUAGAGUAGAAUGUUCACAGGAUUCACUUUUGAUAUGGGUUAUUUUUUGGAACAAUGGCAGAUUGAUUGAUGGGUAGUUGGGGUAAUCUUUACUAUUUCGUACUGCUAUCUUUAAAUACUCAGUAGAUAAUUGCUCUGAUUAAAUUUGUCUGUUAAACACAGUAGCUUUGGUAAACAUUGCAAGAGGAUACAGUAAGGAUACAGUAAUGCAAUCCCCUUUUAGUACUAAAAUAUUUUAUUUGAAUGGGUUUUUAAUCAAUAAAGAGCAAUUUAGUUCUCAGAGAUGCAUGGGCAAUUCCCAUUGAUUUGUAUGAAAUCCUUGGGUUCUUUUUAGAGUGAUGGAUGGUUUAGUGUGGUUGUUUAAAAAUAAAAUUGUAUUCUUGGGCUGGAGACUCCAUGCUGGAGAGAGAUGGUAUAUAAUGGAUGAAACUGGUCUCAUGGAAGUCCCUGAUGCUUCGUGAUAUUUAGGGGACCAAAUAUCACUGAAUGGUUGGUUUUUGUUUUGAGACUGAAUAACUGUAUUAAUCUGUUUUGUGUUGCUAUUAAAAAAAACUGCUAUUGGCUAAAAUAUAAAGAAAAUAGGUUUAUUCAGCUCACAUUUCUGCAGGCAACCAUAUCUGCUCAGCUCCUGGUGAGGCCUCAGGAAGCUUUUACUCAUGGUGGAAGUUGAAAGGGGAGCAGGUCUGUCACAUGGUGAGAGAGGGAGCAAGAGAGAGAGCGGGGAGUUCCCUGACUUUUUAACAAGCAGAUCUCAUGUGAACUCAUUACUGCCAGGAGAGCACCAAGUCAUUCAGUAAGUAUCCUCCUCUAUGACCCAAACACCUCUAGCUAGGCCUCACCUCCAACAUUGGGGAUCACGUUCCAACAUGAGAUUUGGAGGGGACUAACAUCCAAACUAUAUCUAUAAUGCUUCCCAGUGAUUCUCUAUCAUGUGCACUCCAGUGUUCCCAUACUGUACACAGUGAUACAUUUUAUUUCUGUGAAACUUUUAAUGAGUUAUUAUAUGUCGGGGCUUAGAAUGCUGUCUGGCACAGACUAAGUACUAUGUAAGGGUUAGAAAUAAUUGUUACUAGUUAUUCCAAGGCCAACUCCAGCCUUAACUCAUCAGCCAGGUGAGAUGGAAAUGGAAGCAUGGCUUAGGAAAGAAAGUGUAUCAGUUAACAUUAGCUGUCUAACACAGAAAUGUCAAUUGCAAUGGUUUAAAAAUAGCAACCAUGUAUUUAGCUUAUGGGUCUUUGGAUCAUCAAGUUGGACUGGGCUCAGGUUGGCAGUUUUUCUGCUUUUGGCUCUGCUUAGCAUAAACAUCUCUGGUCAGUAUAAGCAUAAACAUCUUUGGUCAGUGGCCAGGUCACCUGGUGUCUGACUAGUCUAGGAUGGGCUCAGCUGGGAUGGCUUGUCUUCGCUUCACAGGUUAGCUUGAGCAUGAUGUCAUGGUGAAGCCAGGGGAGCAAGUCACGAAGACAGGCUUAGAUUGGCCAAAGAAAACUCCAAGUCCAACCCAGAUUCACUGGGUGGGGAAAUAAACUCUACCUGUUGCAAAAUCACAGUGGAAAAUGAGUGGAUAGAAAAGAGUGAAGGAUUUUACAAUCUGCCACACGUUUGUGCAUUCAUCUGAAUGUACAAGUACAUGACUUUUGGGGAUGAAGAAAGAAUACAAGGCUCCAGAGUCAUGAUUUCAGGUGACUUAGGAUAUGGUGGCACUAUGCAGAUAAAUAGGAAAUAAAGUAGGAGAAGCAUUUACCUUUGAAUGUAUAGAAUUUAAAACAGAGAUGACAUGUUUAAGAGAAAGUGUCCAGUAAGGGGUCUGGAAAUCCACAGAGAAACCAGGCCUACAGAUAAGAUAUUUAGGAUGUCAACAGAUGUAAAUAGAUGCAAACAGCAACAACUACCUGUUGUUUUCCUAGCCACCAUGUGGUUAGAGAAUUAACAUGGUUUACUUUUGAGUCUCCCCUUAGUGGACACACUCUUUCCAACUGUUAGUUCAUGUGAUUCGGAUGAGCCCAACCCUGGCCAUCUGCCAUUCAGGUCUGGCCAAUCAGCACAUUCCAGCCCUCUGGUCAUAGGGAUUGGUUUGGGAAUGGCAUUGGACCAAAUUGGUUCUAACAAAAUGAAAUCCUGGCACUUUUGUUGAAUCCGUUGGAACUUUC
Molecule: long non-coding RNA, 3846 nt
Organism: Papio anubis (olive baboon)
Lineage: Eukaryota; Metazoa; Chordata; Mammalia; Primates; Cercopithecidae
Source: Ensembl